GGCUUAUCUGAGUGCAGUGGUGUUUAUAGCUAAUUGAUCACAACCAGUUACAGAUUUCUUUGUUCCUCCUCCAUUCCCACCAGUUCACUUGACUAGUCUUUA
This 102-nucleotide Y RNA is filed under the name Propithecus coquereli (Coquerel's sifaka). RNAcentral describes it as "Y RNA (ENSPCOG00000006943.1)". It matches the Rfam family "Y RNA". From Rfam's summary of the family: Y RNAs are components of the Ro ribonucleoprotein particle (Ro RNP), in association with Ro60 and La proteins. The Y RNAs and Ro60 and La proteins are well conserved, but the function of the Ro RNP is not known. The record is from Rfam by way of RNAcentral. Lineage: Eukaryota; Metazoa; Chordata; Mammalia; Primates; Indriidae.